GCCGCUGUAGCUCAGUUGGUAGAGCGGCGCUUUCGUAAAGCGUAGGUCACCGGUUCAAAUCCGGUCAGCGGCU
Vollenhovia emeryi is the source of this 73-nucleotide non-coding RNA. The record is from the annotation of a RefSeq genome assembly. NCBI's taxonomy places the organism in Eukaryota, Metazoa, Arthropoda, Insecta, Hymenoptera, Formicidae.